GUGGAUGCCGUUAAUUCUGCCUUUUGGAGUGAUGCUGCCCACACGGACUUCAUCAACACAGCUGGUGCCAUGCUGCAGUAUGCUGUCGGCCUUCUGCAGCCCACUAAGGUCUCGGCUCGCCAGCUGCCCCCAAGCGUAGCCCGGGUGGAUGCCAAAAGCCGAGUUCUGUUUCCUCUUGGGUUGGGACAUGCUGCUGAGUACGUCAGGCCUCGGGUGGCGCUCAUUGGGUAAGAUGAUAACAGAGCAGGGCCACUCCCUUCUCACUUUGCUGCCAGAGGUCACACCUGAACUCUGCUUUAUUCUUAGGGAUGCAGCCCACAGAGUCCAUCCGCUUGCAGGACAGGGUGUCAACAUGGGCUUUGGGGAUAUCUCCAGCUUGGCCCAUCACCUCAGUACGGCAGCCUUCAAUGGGAAGGACUUAGGAACAGAUUAUGGCCUUUGCAAGCAAAUGAGUACUCCUCUUCUAAAGAUUAUGUUGAUGAAAAAGAACAUCCUGCCCCGGAUCCAUCAUACAUAUUUUCAAGAUCUUAUUUAAUAAACUUACUUUACAUU
Molecule: small RNA, 552 nt
Filed under: Pongo abelii (Sumatran orangutan)
Lineage: Eukaryota; Metazoa; Chordata; Mammalia; Primates; Hominidae
Description: processed transcript
Source: RNAcentral